GACGAACGCUGGCGGCGUGCUUAACACAUGCAAGUCGAACGGAAAGGCCCCCACUUUUUUGGUGGGGGUGCUCGAGUGGCGAACGGGUGAGUAACACGUGGGUGAUCUGCCCUGUACUUCGGGAUAAGCUUGGGAAACUGGGUCUAAUACCGGAUAGGACCAUGGUUUAGUGUCUCAUGGUGGAAAAAUUAUUGUUUUGGUGCAGGAUGAGCUCGCGGCCUAUCAGCUUGUUUGUGGGGUAAUGGCCUACCAAGGCGUCGACGGGUAGCCGGCCUGGGAGGGGUGGCGGGCCCCAUUGGACUGGGGUACCGGCCCGGAUUCCUAGGGGGGGAGGAGGUGGGGAAUUUGGAACAAUGGGGGCAGGCUGGAUCCGGGGACGCCGGGUGGGGAUGACGGCCUUCGGGUUGUAAACUCCUUUCGUUAGGGACGAAGCCGCACCUUUUUUGGGUGUGGUGACGGUACCUUUGUUAAGAAGCACCGGCUAACUACGUG
Molecule: ribosomal RNA, 492 nt
Filed under: uncultured bacterium
Lineage: Bacteria
Description: partial 16S ribosomal RNA
Rfam family: Bacterial small subunit ribosomal RNA
Source: RNAcentral